ACCUGUUUCUUUAUGAAGUGCUGGCAACCAUCUUGGAUUCCUCGCUUUGAGUGCGAAUGCCCGCUCGUUACUCCGAAAGAAACUUGUGGAACAUUAAUAUCCGAACAGAAAUAAAAACAUUUGUGAAGGUUUUUUUUGCUGCAUUGUCUUUGACGCUGGAUAAAGGAGGACGUGCUGUGGUAUGUUACGGACUUUUGAACUGGAACAGCUAACGCUCUGCACUUGGCUAGCUGCAUACCGCCUUUGCAGCAAUUUUGUCUUCAGGAGCGCUUUUGUGUCUGUCUUGUCUUCUGUGUUUUACUGUUAUGUCCGUGCAGGGGCAGAAGUAAAUUUUCAGGGGUGAAGAUGCUGUUCACCUUGACCAUCACAUUGUAGAUGAAGUCGAGAAAAGUGAAAAGAAUCCUGUCCUCAUUACAAAGCUGAUGCACACAACUUUGGCCUUGCGAUGCAAAGAGAUCAUCAAUGAUCACCUACCAGUAGGUCAGAUCCUGAAUCGCUGGCCUACUCUGAAAUCCCAGUCCCAGAUCUGUGCAGAAUUCCACAGGAUUACAAACCUCGACCUGAAGAACCACUUUUAUGCUGUGUUGGACCAAAAUGCUCCCCGGCUCCAGAGCUUAUUCAGAAAGAAAGCUGUUUGCACAGGGAACGUGUCUGAUGUCCUGUCUCAGUUCUUCAGAAGCUAGAAUCUCCAGGAACAAGCUGAUAUCCAUGCCCAACGUGCUGGUGUGCUUCAUGCCCUCCCUGCCUAUUUGUACGAAGACGCCUCUACCUUCAUCAAAACGUGGGAUAUGAUGCAUACUGAUAGACCAGAUAUUAGUGAAGUGCCACUUGGACUCCUCCUGAUCAGAGCCAAUUCCAGUGAUGCAACAUUCUUCUGCCCUGAGAAGACUGCAGUUUUGGUCGAGGGUAACAUGAUCAUUGAUUUCACCACCCUGGCUGAUGCAUUUCUAGUAAUAUUUGGACUGACCUACGCCCUGCACCUAAGCUACCCAAAAUGUUUGGCCACCAUUUUUGACUUUAUUCAGAAAGUUUUGAUGGGUCUGGAGGGUGGGAAGUUGAAGCCCAAAGUGCUGAGUCUUAAAAAUGAUCUUUUGGCAGCAGAAUAAUGUCCAGGAUUCCUACACAGCUCUCAAGUGCUUGUUAAAGCAAGUAAUUCAGUUUAUCAUGUUUCCAAGUCAGGAUAAGUUUAAAAAAAAAAGAGAGAGAGAGAGAAGUAAAAGGCCUGAUUUUUUUUUCUUUUUGUUUAUUUCCCCAUCAUCACUUGUGUUUUAGUUGAUUUUGAUUGUGUUUUUAGUCAGAUAACUGUAAAUCCAUACAGAAAAUGAAGGACAAUCUCACUACAUUUCUGGCUUCUAGGUGGGAUCUUGAAUGUCACUUAAGGAACGUUCCUCCUGAACUACUCAUAACUGACAUAAGGCGCUAAGGAGGUUUAUAACACUUUGUUUUAUGUUUCUAAAGAAGUAUUUUUCUAUUUAAAGUUUUAUUGCUCUGUUGUUGAGACUGUGAUUGCACUCUACAAAUGUGCAUUUUGCAUAACAACAGUAUUGGCAUAUUAAAAAGGUUACCAAUUAUAUUUCAGUGUAUUAGCUGCACUAUACAGUAAUUUACUUUCAUUCAGUUUUCCCACCUAAUAAUGCAGGAUUUUCUUUUCCUUUUGUUUUUUUAAUAAAAAGGCCACACUCAUGUGUUAAUCAAAUCUGAAUACUCUUAAAACAUGUUGUGAAAUUCUUUAUUUCUAAUAUUGUAACCUUGUGCCAAAACUGGACAUGUCUGAUGCAUUUAUGUCUUUGGGCUUUUUGUCAGAAAAGCUAUGUGUUAAAGUAACUCAAUAAAUUUGUAACUUGAAUUUA
Molecule: long non-coding RNA, 1850 nt
Organism: Pelmatolapia mariae (spotted tilapia)
Lineage: Eukaryota; Metazoa; Chordata; Actinopteri; Cichliformes; Cichlidae
Exons: 5
Source: RefSeq, a predicted model, not a curated record